This 2925-nucleotide ribosomal RNA is filed under the name Escherichia coli. Its description in RNAcentral is "23S ribosomal RNA". It matches the Rfam family "Bacterial large subunit ribosomal RNA". Lineage: Bacteria; Pseudomonadati; Pseudomonadota; Gammaproteobacteria; Enterobacterales; Enterobacteriaceae. The record is from RNAcentral.
GGGUUGUGAGGUUAAGCGACUAAGCGUACACGGUGGAUGCCCUGGCAGUCAGAGGCGAUGAAGGACGUGCUAAUCUGCGAUAAGCGUCGGUAAGGUGAUAUGAACCGUUAUAACCGGCGAUUUCCGAAUGGGGAAACCCAGUGUGUUUCGACACACUAUCAUUAACUGAAUCCAUAGGUUAAUGAGGCGAACCGGGGGAACUGAAACAUCUAAGUACCCCGAGGAAAAGAAAUCAACCGAGAUUCCCCCAGUAGCGGCGAGCGAACGGGGAGCAGCCCAGAGCCUGAAUCAGUGUGUGUGUUAGUGGAAGCGUCUGGAAAGGCGCGCGAUACAGGGUGACAGCCCCGUACACAAAAAUGCACAUGCUGUGAGCUCGAUGAGUAGGGCGGGACACGUGGUAUCCUGUCUGAAUAUGGGGGGACCAUCCUCCAAGGCUAAAUACUCCUGACUGACCGAUAGUGAACCAGUACCGUGAGGGAAAGGCGAAAAGAACCCCGGCGAGGGGAGUGAAAAAGAACCUGAAACCGUGUACGUACAAGCAGUGGGAGCACGCUUAGGCGUGUGACUGCGUACCUUUUGUAUAAUGGGUCAGCGACUUAUAUUCUGUAGCAAGGUUAACCGAAUAGGGGAGCCGAAGGGAAACCGAGUCUUAACUGGGCGUUAAGUUGCAGGGUAUAGACCCGAAACCCGGUGAUCUAGCCAUGGGCAGGUUGAAGGUUGGGUAACACUAACUGGAGGACCGAACCGACUAAUGUUGAAAAAUUAGCGGAUGACUUGUGGCUGGGGGUGAAAGGCCAAUCAAACCGGGAGAUAGCUGGUUCUCCCCGAAAGCUAUUUAGGUAGCGCCUCGUGAAUUCAUCUCCGGGGGUAGAGCACUGUUUCGGCAAGGGGGUCAUCCCGACUUACCAACCCGAUGCAAACUGCGAAUACCGGAGAAUGUUAUCACGGGAGACACACGGCGGGUGCUAACGUCCGUCGUGAAGAGGGAAACAACCCAGACCGCCAGCUAAGGUCCCAAAGUCAUGGUUAAGUGGGAAACGAUGUGGGAAGGCCCAGACAGCCAGGAUGUUGGCUUAGAAGCAGCCAUCAUUUAAAGAAAGCGUAAUAGCUCACUGGUCGAGUCGGCCUGCGCGGAAGAUGUAACGGGGCUAAACCAUGCACCGAAGCUGCGGCAGCGACGCUUAUGCGUUGUUGGGUAGGGGAGCGUUCUGUAAGCCUGUGAAGGUGUACUGUGAGGUAUGCUGGAGGUAUCAGAAGUGCGAAUGCUGACAUAAGUAACGAUAAAGCGGGUGAAAAGCCCGCUCGCCGGAAGACCAAGGGUUCCUGUCCAACGUUAAUCGGGGCAGGGUGAGUCGACCCCUAAGGCGAGGCCGAAAGGCGUAGUCGAUGGGAAACAGGUUAAUAUUCCUGUACUUGGUGUUACUGCGAAGGGGGGACGGAGAAGGCUAUGUUGGCCGGGCGACGGUUGUCCCGGUUUAAGCGUGUAGGCUGGUUUUCCAGGCAAAUCCGGAAAAUCAAGGCUGAGGCGUGAUGACGAGGCACUACGGUGCUGAAGCAACAAAUGCCCUGCUUCCAGGAAAAGCCUCUAAGCAUCAGGUAACAUCAAAUCGUACCCCAAACCGACACAGGUGGUCAGGUAGAGAAUACCAAGGCGCUUGAGAGAACUCGGGUGAAGGAACUAGGCAAAAUGGUGCCGUAACUUCGGGAGAAGGCACGCUGAUAUGUAGGUGAAGUCCCUCGCGGAUGGAGCUGAAAUCAGUCGAAGAUACCAGCUGGCUGCAACUGUUUAUUAAAAACACAGCACUGUGCAAACACGAAAGUGGACGUAUACGGUGUGACGCCUGCCCGGUGCCGGAAGGUUAAUUGAUGGGGUUAGCGCAAGCGAAGCUCUUGAUCGAAGCCCCGGUAAACGGCGGCCGUAACUAUAACGGUCCUAAGGUAGCGAAAUUCCUUGUCGGGUAAGUUCCGACCUGCACGAAUGGCGUAAUGAUGGCCAGGCUGUCUCCACCCGAGACUCAGUGAAAUUGAACUCGCUGUGAAGAUGCAGUGUACCCGCGGCAAGACGGAAAGACCCCGUGAACCUUUACUAUAGCUUGACACUGAACAUUGAGCCUUGAUGUGUAGGAUAGGUGGGAGGCUUUGAAGUGUGGACGCCAGUCUGCAUGGAGCCGACCUUGAAAUACCACCCUUUAAUGUUUGAUGUUCUAACGUUGACCCGUAAUCCGGGUUGCGGACAGUGUCUGGUGGGUAGUUUGACUGGGGCGGUCUCCUCCUAAAGAGUAACGGAGGAGCACGAAGGUUGGCUAAUCCUGGUCGGACAUCAGGAGGUUAGUGCAAUGGCAUAAGCCAGCUUGACUGCGAGCGUGACGGCGCGAGCAGGUGCGAAAGCAGGUCAUAGUGAUCCGGUGGUUCUGAAUGGAAGGGCCAUCGCUCAACGGAUAAAAGGUACUCCGGGGAUAACAGGCUGAUACCGCCCAAGAGUUCAUAUCGACGGCGGUGUUUGGCACCUCGAUGUCGGCUCAUCACAUCCUGGGGCUGAAGUAGGUCCCAAGGGUAUGGCUGUUCGCCAUUUAAAGUGGUACGCGAGCUGGGUUUAGAACGUCGUGAGACAGUUCGGUCCCUAUCUGCCGUGGGCGCUGGAGAACUGAGGGGGGCUGCUCCUAGUACGAGAGGACCGGAGUGGACGCAUCACUGGUGUUCGGGUUGUCAUGCCAAUGGCACUGCCCGGUAGCUAAAUGCGGAAGAGAUAAGUGCUGAAAGCAUCUAAGCACGAAACUUGCCCCGAGAUGAGUUCUCCCUGACCCUUUAAGGGUCCUGAAGGAACGUUGAAGACGACGACGUUGAUAGGCCGGGUGUGUAAGCGCAGCGAUGCGUUGAGCUAACCGGUACUAAUGAACCGUGAGGCUUAACCUUACAACGCCGAAG